Molecule: ribosomal RNA, 222 nt
Filed under: uncultured bacterium
Lineage: Bacteria
Description: partial 16S ribosomal RNA
Rfam family: Bacterial small subunit ribosomal RNA
Source: RNAcentral
UACGUAGGGUGCGAGCGUUGUCCGGAAUUAUUGGGCGUAAAGAGCUCGUAGGCGGUUUGUUGCGUCGGCUGUGAAAUCCCGAGGCUCAACCUCGGGUCUGCAGUCGAUACGAGCAAACUAGAGUGUUGCAGGGGAGACUGGAAUUCCUGGUGUAGCGGUGAAAUGCGCAGAUAUCAGGAGGAACACCGGUGGCGAAGGCGGGUCUCUGGGCAACAACUGACG